Mus musculus (house mouse) is the source of this 51-nucleotide non-coding RNA. NCBI's taxonomy places the organism in Eukaryota, Metazoa, Chordata, Mammalia, Rodentia, Muridae. The record is from Rfam.
GGGGAAUGAAGAGGGGGCCAACCCCAGGCCCUGAAACAAUGUUAUGGGGCA